This 332-nucleotide ribosomal RNA is filed under the name Velesunio sp. BMB-2003. Its description in RNAcentral is "partial 12S ribosomal RNA". It matches the Rfam family "Bacterial small subunit ribosomal RNA", at positions 879 to 1389 of the family's 1533-position model. Lineage: Eukaryota; Metazoa; Mollusca; Bivalvia; Unionida; Hyriidae. The record is from RNAcentral.
UCUAAAAACGAAAGUUUAAAACUCAAAUGAUGUGGCGGUGCUUUACCCCAUGUCAGGGGAUCCUGUGCCUUAAAUCGAUAAUCCACGAACACCCAAGCUUUUCUUGUUAGCAGCUUAUGUAUGGCCGUCUACGUUUGCUUCACAAAAACUCAAAAGGAAACACAACAGCCAAAAGCUUAACAACUCAGGUGACACAUAGCUAAUGAAAAGCAGGCCAUGGGAUACAAAUAACCAUUCUUAUCAAACUUAGGAUUUAAAACCCUAUAAAGGAGGACUUGAAAGUAAGGUAAUCUAACAACGUUUACCUGAAUAAGAACUAAAGCGCGCACACA